This 75-nucleotide transfer RNA is filed under the name Priolepis latifascima. Its description in RNAcentral is "tRNA-Leu". It matches the Rfam family "tRNA". From Rfam's summary of the family: Transfer RNA (tRNA) molecules are approximately 80 nucleotides in length. Their secondary structure includes four short double-helical elements and three loops (D, anti-codon, and T loops). The record is from RNAcentral. Lineage: Eukaryota; Metazoa; Chordata; Actinopteri; Gobiiformes; Gobiidae.
GCUUUUAUAGGAUAAUUCAGCCCAUCCGUUGGCUUUAAUCGCCAAAGAUUCCUGGUUCAAACCCAGGUAAAAGCA